CGCGCAGGCGGCCUUUCAAGUCAGGGGUGAAAGCCCGGAGCUCAACUCCGGAAUUGCCUUUGAAACUGCAAGGCUUGAGUACGGGAGAGGGUGAGUGGAAUUCCCAGUGUAGAGGUGAAAUUCGUAGAUAUUGGGAAGAACACCGGUGGCGAAGGCGGCUCACUGGCCCGUAACUGACGCUCAGGCGCGACAGCGUGGGGAUCAAACAGGAUUAGAUACCCUGGUAGUCCACGCCGUAAACGAUGAACGCUAGCCGUUGGCAAGCUUGCUUGUCAGUGGCGCAGCUAACGCAUUAAGCGUUCCGCCUGGGGAGUACGGCCGCAAGGUUGAA
Molecule: ribosomal RNA, 331 nt
Filed under: uncultured bacterium
Lineage: Bacteria
Description: bacterial SSU rRNA
Rfam family: Bacterial small subunit ribosomal RNA
Source: RNAcentral